AUACGUAGGGUGCGAGCGUUGUCCGGAAUUACUGGGCGUAAAGAGCUCGUAGGUGGUUUGUCGCGUCGUCUGUGAAAUUCCGGGGCUUAACUCCGGGCGUGCAGGCGAUACGGGCAUAACUUGAGUACUGUAGGGGAGACUGGAAUUUCUGGUGUAGCGGUGAAAUGGGCAGAUAUCAGGAGGAACACCGGUGGCGAAGGCGGGUCUCUGGGCAGUAACUGACGCUGAGGGGCGAAAGCAUGGGUAGCGAACAGGAUUAGAUACCCUGGUAGUCCAUGCCGUAAACAGUGGGCGCUAGGGGUAGGGGGCUUCCACGCCUUCUGUGCCGUAGCUAACGCAUUAAGCGCCCCGCCUGGGGAGUACGGCCGCAAGGCUAAAACUCAAAUGAAUUGACGGGG
This 398-nucleotide ribosomal RNA is filed under the name uncultured bacterium. RNAcentral's name for it is "partial 16S ribosomal RNA". It matches the Rfam family "Bacterial small subunit ribosomal RNA", at positions 523 to 918 of the family's 1533-position model. The record is from RNAcentral.